CUAUAUCAUGCCAAAACACUGGUUCUUGUCCGAUUAGCAAAGUUAAGCAAUAUUGAUCCUGGUCAGUACCUAGAUGGGUGACUACUUGGGAAUACCAAGUGCUGUAAG
Non-coding RNA from Acanthosepion pharaonis, 108 nucleotides. NCBI's taxonomy places the organism in Eukaryota, Metazoa, Mollusca, Cephalopoda, Sepiida, Sepiidae. The record is from the annotation of a GenBank genome assembly.